Molecule: ribosomal RNA, 521 nt
Filed under: uncultured bacterium
Lineage: Bacteria
Description: bacterial SSU rRNA
Rfam family: Archaeal small subunit ribosomal RNA
Source: RNAcentral
AACCUCCGCAAUGUGAGAAAUCGCGACGGGGGGAUCCCAAGUGCCAUUCUUAACGGGAUGGCUUUUCUUAAGUGUAAAAAGCUUUUGGAAUAAGAGCUGGGCAAGACCGGUGCCAGCCGCCGCGGUAACACCGGCAGCUCUAGUGGUAGCUGUUUUUAUUGGGCCUAAAGCGUUCGUAGCCGGUUUGAUAAGUCACUGGUGAAAUCUUGUAGCUUAACUGUGAGAAUUGCUGGUGAUACUGUUGAACUUGAGGUCGGGAGAGGUUAGCGGUACUCCCAGGGUAGAGGUGAAAUUCUGUAAUCCUGGGAGGACCACCUGUGGCGAAGGCGGCUAACUGGAACGAACCUGACGGUGAGGGACGAAAGCCAGGGGCGCGAACCGGAUUAGAUACCCGGGUAGUCCUGGCCGUAAACGAUGCGGACUUGGUGUUGGGGUGGCUUUGAGCUGCUCCAGUGCCGAAGGGAAGCUGUUAAGUCCGCCGCCUGGGAAGUACGGUCGCAAGACUGAAACUUAAAGGAAUU